This 1073-nucleotide long non-coding RNA is filed under the name Heterocephalus glaber (naked mole-rat). RNAcentral describes it as "lncRNA (ENSHGLG00000037443.1)". Lineage: Eukaryota; Metazoa; Chordata; Mammalia; Rodentia; Bathyergidae. The record is from RNAcentral.
CGGGGCUCCAAGUGUCCACGCUCUGAGGAGAGUUGGCGACAGGUCCUAGGCCGUGAGUUAAGGGGAUAUAAUCAGCUAUCUGGGCCUGUGUGGUGGCACACUCCUGUAAUUCCAGCACAUGGGAGGCUGAGGGAGCAAGUUCAAGCACUGGGGAUUUGGACCCAGGACUUUGUCCUGUGUGACAGCCAAGCACUCUACUACUGAGCUACACUCCCUGCCCAACCUCAAGUACUUCGUUAAUGUCUUCAGAAGACUCACCCAGUUCAGCCCCUUACCACCUGCAGGGGUAUGUGCAGAGGGAAGGCUGAUGCAUUCAGCCCAGUCUGCUAAGUGGCCGCACUCACAGUGAAAAGAUUGGCCUGCUUUGGAAUAUCAAAUACCUCCUCUUUGGAGGGGAAGGAAGAUGAAAGCAAUGACAUCCACACUCCCCCAGAGCAUCUCCCCAGCACAGCCUGAGCUCUUGCAAUGGGGUUUUGUCGGGAGAGCUCAUCACCUGGAGUGGUCAGGAGGGCUCAGUCACUGUGCGGUCACUGGGGGAGAAGACCUCGUGGCUUCAGCCUAGCCUGCUGAGGAAGCUCUUGGAGUCAGGGUGUCAGAGGGCUGAGACCCCACAGGAAGUGCAGAGCCGGAUGGGAAGGAGAGGUGACCACAUCCUGCAUUUCUCUGUGGUUCCCCCAGGAACCAGUAACACAGCCUGGAGGCUCAGCAGAGGAAAACCAAGAAGCCAAAUGAAAACCACAAUGAAAUACUCCUUCAUAUCCGCCAGCAUUGCUAUCAUGAAAAGAAAGAUAAUAACAAGUGCUGGUGAAGAUGUGGGGAAAUAGGAGCCCUCAGGCACUGUUGGUGGAUAGCUGCUUUGCACAGUAAUCUAGCAUUCCCAAAAGGUUAAAUAGAGACUUGUCUUUCAACACAGCAAUUCCACUUUUAGGUGCAUACCCAAAAGAAAUGGAAAUUUUGGUCCACAUGAAAACCUGUCCCUUAAUGUUUGGAGCAGCAUUAGGCAUAAUGACCAAAAAAUGAAAAGUACCCAACAGUUCUGCUGUUAAGAUUGAGAAGUUUUUGUGGUGUCUGAA